RNAcentral lists this transfer RNA (86 nucleotides) under Chloroflexota bacterium. RNAcentral describes it as "Chloroflexi bacterium tRNA-Leu". It matches the Rfam family "tRNA". Rfam says of the family: Transfer RNA (tRNA) molecules are approximately 80 nucleotides in length. Their secondary structure includes four short double-helical elements and three loops (D, anti-codon, and T loops). Lineage: Bacteria; Bacillati; Chloroflexota. The record is from RNAcentral. RNAcentral also lists the same sequence under 2 other names.
GCCGAAGUGGCGGAAUGGUAGACGCGCUGGUCUCAAAAACCAGUGGGGGCAACCCCGUGUCAGUUCGAGUCUGACCUUCGGUACCA